Pan troglodytes (chimpanzee) is the source of this 3682-nucleotide long non-coding RNA. RefSeq lists it as uncharacterized. NCBI's taxonomy places the organism in Eukaryota, Metazoa, Chordata, Mammalia, Primates, Hominidae. The record is from RefSeq and is a predicted model, not a curated record. The transcript is spliced from 2 exons.
GAGCCCCCUCGUCCCUAGGGAUUCUGAGUGGCCUUUCAGCACCCACCCACCCUGAGCUUGUGCAUGCCCCGUGGGACCAGGACUGCUGAGGUGAGCAAGGGCGGUGGACGUCACUGCCUGUGCCCCCAGGACACCUGUGGCCCUCAGAGCGGGAGCUGCCUCAUCAGGACCCCUCUUGCACCCUGUUGCUUAGGUAGGGUGGUGGCAGAUGUGUACUCGCCCCCUCUCCAGAGCCCCCAGACCUGUCCCGGUGUCCCAUCUCACGGUAGGUCUCCUCCCAGUCACCCCGGGGCUGCGGGUGUCACCAGCCCAUGCUGUGCAGGUGGCGAGUGUGAGCAAACCUGGCCCCGGGCCCUGGCUACGUCUUCACUCGGCGCGGGCAAAGAAGUAAAAUAAGAUAAAAUGAAGAAAGUGGAAGCGCUUGAGGAGGUCUUCGUGUCGCCUCGUGAUCCACUUCCAGUCCAGGAAGCCCUGGAUCUGUAAGGUGUGUUCAUUUCGUUACCGUAAUUAGUUUGAGGAUUUUCAGGGCAAACAUGGUAGGAUUUCUCAGUUCAACUUUGGGGUGUUUGUUUUUUGAGAUAAAGCACACAGAAGAAGUUGCAUUGAUCUUUUAAUUCCUCAUGCAAAGAAAAAAUAUUUGCUCUUCUCUGAUUUAGUGUGUCUGAUUCUCACCGAGGCUGGAGGGGGUGGUGGAGUCCAGUCAGAGUGGACGCUGGAGCAUGGUGGCAUCCCGGCCCUGUCAUCACUGCCCCCUCACUGCCCAAAGAGGGGACAUGUACUGCCCCUUAGCGAGGAGCCGAGGACAUCCUGCACCCCCCUGCACCCCUGCUUUCCUUCUUCCUUGGGGCAGCUUUCCUAGGCCUCCCUGACUGCGGGGGUGCUGGAUGCCUCUGCCCAAAGCCCCACAUUCUGUGCCCCUUGGAGCCCUGAAGCUGCCCCUGCCCCCAGCAGCCUCUCCACCACUGUCCCUGCAGGCCUGCCUAGCCAGCUUCACCAGCCACACUGGGCUACACCCAAGCCUGGCCCCUGAAGCAGGAGGGCUCAGCAUCUCCAUCCGUGUGAUGUUACUGGCACCCCCUCUCAGGGUUGUUGCAAAUGCCGGAGAAACACAGAUGCUCUGUGGAGUGUCAUCGUCAGUGCCACUGUCACCUAAUAGGAUUCCUAGUCCCCCUGGUGUCCAGAGGCUCCGGCACCCAUGGAGAUACCUUGUGAGCCACAGUCCUCGUGGGAUCGUCCAGGUAGCGGCACCUCACAGCUGUCUCAUGGCCCAUCACUUUGUUGAGGAAGAAGUGGCCAGAGCUACUGUUUAUAAAAGCGACAGCAUCUGUGCCCCAGCCUCUUUGCAGUGUGCUCUGUGCCCCCAGCUAAGGACGCACAGACCCCACCCCACGGCACUUUCGGCCUCUGGGGGACAGGGAGAACAGUGGACAGUGAUGACCUGCAGGCUGGGGAGGAGCAAGCAGUAGGACACACAGACCCCACCCCAAGGCGCUCUUGGCCUCUGGGGGACAGGGAGGGCCGUGGACACUGAUGACCUGCAGGCUGGGGAGAAGCGAGCAGUAUGUCCUUCUGGAGAAGUGAAGCUGUGUGUCCCGGCACAGCUUCCCAGCCACCCUCCCUAGUGAACCUUGCCUCUUCCCUCCCCUCAGCUGUAGGAGGCAGGUUUUGGCAAAGGCCGUCCUUGGAGAGCCCCCUUGGUGGGUCUUAGGGUGUUUGCCAAAUCUGCGUGCUUUGCAAUUGACAAGCAUCUUAGUCUCUCUGGGCUGGUAUAACAAAAUAGCAUAGACAGUGGGCUUAGAAACAGCAGUCAUUUAUUUCUCAGAUCUAGGGGGGGGGAGGCCCUAAUCAAGGCACCGGCAGACCCGGCGUCUGGUGAGGGCCCGCUCCUGGUUCAUAGACAGCACCCUCUGCCGUGUCCUCACACGGUGGAACAGGGAGGGGCCUCUCGGCAUCUCCUUCAUAGAGGAACCAAUCCCUUCCCCGAGGGCUCCCGCUCAUGGCCAAUCACUUCCCAAAGACCCUGCUUCCUAAUACUACCACCUUGGCGUGAGGAUUUUAACCGAUGGAUUGGGGGAAACACAAACGUUCCAGCCGUAGCACGUUAUUUGGCCGAAACCCAGAAUACCAGGAGGCCAGCCCUCGCUCUGCAGCCGUCUCCCCUGAGGGCCCAGCCUGGAUUCAGGCCUUUUGGCUUGGCCAAAGCCCUUCUGAGUCCCACCCUGAGCCUUUGCGGGAGGGUGACGUCAUGUGCUUUAUUGCUUUGUUUAUGUGCUUCAGUCACCGUUCCGCUCCUGCAGCGACCAGUCAGGCACAGAACACUGAGGCCGCCAAAGACUGGCCCUUGGUUCCAGUUGCCCCCACGGAACUGUGUCUGGGGCCCAGUUGCCGAGGAAGUACCUCAGAGGACACCACUGACACAAGCCACAGGUGCUGACGUGGCCGCACCUCCCAGGGCUCCUUAGCAGGUCUGCACCUUGAGACAGGUGUUCACCCAAACAUGAGCCGUGGAGGGCUCCCUGCUGGGUAGGCCCGGGGUCUGCAUUGUCAGGGGCUGGUCGGGGCGGCCUCAAAGGGGCUGUGGUCUCCACCCAGCUCCUGCCUUCCCUCCUGUACAUUGAGCAGAGCACCUCCAGGGGGCUUUGGGUCGGCUCCCCCUCCUGUGUUCUCAUGAGAGGCUGCUCGAGCGUGGCCCGCUGGGACAGGAGAGGGACCACCAUUCCUGGGUGAGUCUACGACACUCACCUUCCAAGCCCCCUGCUUCCAGCCACUUAGGAGGAGGUGCGGUGUCCUGGCCGGGGAGGUUGUUAGCGUCUGCCCAGGGCGCCUGGGCUGAGCUGCGCUCGCUAAGACCCAAGUUCAGGAGUGGCGGCAGGAGAAGCCCCGCUCUCACUGCCUCACCGCCCUGCUUAUGUCUCCAGAUAAUCCCGUUGUAAUAAACUUAAUUCCUGCCAGUCCGUGAGAACCAGCCUGUGGACCUGUUGCAAAGUCCGCAUCAUGUGACUGCUCCUAUUACACUGUCAGUCUUGAUUAGGGUCCCACUCUGAAAUGUCAAGCUGUGGUCUUGUCUGCACUCCCUGAUUCAUUCAUAUCUUUUUAUAAUCAUUAUCAGAUGACACCUCUGUCACUUUGGAGAUGUGUAGCUAGGAGCGCUGGUGACACCCACAGUGAAGCCCAGCAAUUUUUGAAGUGAUUUCUCCUCAUUGGGAGCCACAGACCUAAUGUUGAGCAAAAAUUGAGCUGUGCGUAUUUAGAAAUCAAUUGAAAACAUCACAUUGCUCAGGCUCUGAAUGUGCGCGUGCUGAGUCUGCCUAUUCUUCUCGGUGGCCCAGGCCGCUCCGCUUAUUUUAAGAUAGAUCUCAUCGGUUGUGAAAAUGCUACUGUGGGCCGGGCGUGGUGGCUCACGCCUGUAAUCCCAGCACUUUGGGAGGCCGAGGCGGGCGGAUCACGAGGUCAGGAGAUCGAGACCACAGUGAAACCCCGUCUCUACUAAAAAUACAAAAAAUUAGCCGGGUGUGGUGGCGGGCGCCUGUAGUCCCAGCUACUGGGGAGGCUGAGGUAGGAGAAUGGUGUGAACCCAGGAGGCAGAACUUGCAUUGAGAUCGUGCCACUGCACUCCAGCCUGGGUGACAGAGUGAGACUCAGUCUCAAAAAAAAAAAAAAAAAAAAAAAGAAAGAAAGAAAA